UGGUUACAAUAGCAGAGAGGAUACACCUGUUCCCAUUCCGAACACAGAAGUUAAGCUCUCUAGCGCUGAUGGUACUUGGUGGGAAACUGCCUGGGAG
Molecule: ribosomal RNA, 97 nt
Filed under: Clostridioides difficile P8
Lineage: Bacteria; Bacillati; Bacillota; Clostridia; Peptostreptococcales; Peptostreptococcaceae
Source: RNAcentral